This 372-nucleotide ribosomal RNA is filed under the name uncultured organism. RNAcentral describes it as "partial 16S ribosomal RNA". It matches the Rfam family "Bacterial small subunit ribosomal RNA", at positions 527 to 896 of the family's 1533-position model. The record is from RNAcentral.
GUAGGUGGCAAGCGUUGUCCGGAAUUAUUGGGCGUAAAGCGCGCGCAGGCGGUUCUUUAAGUCUGAUGUGAAAGCCCACGGCUCAACCGUGGAGGGUCAUUGGAAACUGGAGAACUUGAGUACAGAAGAGGAAAGCGGAAUUCCACCUGUAGCGGUGAAAUGCGUAGAGAUGUGGAGGAACACCAGUGGCGAAGGCGGCUUCCUGGUCUGUAACUGACGCUGAGGCGCGAAAGCGUGGGGAGCAAACAGGAUUAGAUACCCUGGUAGUCCACGCCGUAAACGAUGAGUGCUAAGUGUUAGGGGGUUUCCGCCCCCCUUAGUGCUGCAGCUAACGCAUUAAGCACUCCGCCUGGGAGUACGGCCGCAAGGCUG